GUUCCUGUAGUUAAAUUUCAUAACGGUGGCUUUUCAGGCCAUAGGUCUUGGGGAGGAUCCAGGCAGGAACU
RNAcentral lists this transfer RNA (71 nucleotides) under Pica pica melanotos. RNAcentral's name for it is "tRNA-Glu". It matches the Rfam family "tRNA". From Rfam's summary of the family: Transfer RNA (tRNA) molecules are approximately 80 nucleotides in length. Lineage: Eukaryota; Metazoa; Chordata; Aves; Passeriformes; Corvidae. The record is from RNAcentral.